UCCGGUUUGUCACCGGCAGUCCCACUAGAGUGCCCGGCCGAACCGUUGGCAACUAGCAGCAAGGGUUGCGCUCGUUGCGGGACUUAACCCAACAUCUCACGACACGAGCUGACGACAGCCAUGCACCACCUGCACACCAACCACAAGGGAACUGAUAUCUCUAGGCACGUCCUGUGCAUGUCAAACCCAGGUAAGGUUCUUCGCGUUGCAUCGAAUUAAUCCACAUGCUCCGCCGCUUGUGCGGGCCCCCGUCAAUUUCUUUGAGUUUUAGCCUUGCGGCCGUACUCCCCAGGUGGGGUACUUAAUGCGUUAGCUACGGCACGGAUCCCAAGGAAGGAAACCCACACCUAGUACCCACCGUUUACGGCGUGGACUAC
This 377-nucleotide unclassified non-coding RNA is filed under the name uncultured Mycobacteriaceae bacterium. RNAcentral describes it as "contains 16S-23S intergenic spacer region". Lineage: Bacteria; Bacillati; Actinomycetota; Actinomycetes; Mycobacteriales; Mycobacteriaceae. The record is from RNAcentral.